Molecule: ribosomal RNA, 506 nt
Filed under: uncultured Bifidobacterium sp.
Lineage: Bacteria; Bacillati; Actinomycetota; Actinomycetes; Bifidobacteriales; Bifidobacteriaceae
Description: bacterial SSU rRNA
Rfam family: Bacterial small subunit ribosomal RNA
Source: RNAcentral
GUAAUGCCGGAUGUUCCACAUGAUCGCAUGUGAUUGUGGGAAAGAUUCUAUCGGCGUGGGAUGGGGUCGCGUCCUAUCAGCUUGUUGGUGAGGUAACGGCUCACCAAGGCUUCGACGGGUAGCCGGCCUGAGAGGGCGACCGGCCACAUUGGGACUGAGAUACGGCCCAGACUCCUACGGGAGGCAGCAGUGGGGAAUAUUGCACAAUGGGCGCAAGCCUGAUGCAGCGACGCCGCGUGAGGGAUGGAGGCCUUCGGGUUGUAAACCUCUUUUGUUUGGGAGCAAGCCUUCGGGUGAGUGUACCUUUCGAAUAAGCGCCGGCUAACUACGUGCCAGCAGCCGCGGUAAUACGUAGGGCGCAAGCGUUAUCCGGAUUUAUUGGGCGUAAAGGGCUCGUAGGCGGCUCGUCGCGUCCGGUGUGAAAGUCCAUCGCUUAACGGUGGAUCUGCGCCGGGUACGGGCGGGCUGGAGUGCGGUAGGGGAGACUGGAAUUCCCGGUGUAACGG